This 506-nucleotide ribosomal RNA is filed under the name uncultured bacterium. Its description in RNAcentral is "partial 16S ribosomal RNA". It matches the Rfam family "Bacterial small subunit ribosomal RNA", at positions 29 to 523 of the family's 1533-position model. The record is from RNAcentral.
AGUGAACGCUGGCGGCAGGCCUAACACAUGCAAGUCGAACGGCAGCACAGCAGUAGCAAUACUGUGGGUGGCGAGUGGCGGACGGGUGAGGAAUACAUCGGGAUCUACCCGGUUGUGGGGGAUAACGUAGGGAAACUUACGCUAAUACCGCAUACGACCGAGAGGUGAAAGCGGCGGACCGCAAGGCGUCGCGCGAUCGGAUGAACCGAUGUCGGAUUAGCUAGUUGGUGAGGUAAAGGCUCACCAAGGCGACGAUCCGUAGCUGGUCUGAGAGGAUGAUCAGCCACACUGGAACUGAGACACGGUCCAGACUCCUACGGGAGGCAGCAGUGGGGAAUAUUGGACAAUGGGCGCAAGCCUGAUCCAGCCAUGCCGCGUGUGUGAAGAAGGCCUUCGGGUUGUAAAGCACUUUUGUUGGGGAAGAAAAGCAUUCGGUUAAUACCCGGGUGUUCUGACGGUACCCAAAGAAUAAGCACCGGCUAACUUCGUGCCAGCAGCCGCCGUAA